RNAcentral lists this ribosomal RNA (465 nucleotides) under Vreelandella stevensii. RNAcentral's name for it is "partial 16S ribosomal RNA". It matches the Rfam family "Bacterial small subunit ribosomal RNA", at positions 338 to 795 of the family's 1533-position model. Lineage: Bacteria; Pseudomonadati; Pseudomonadota; Gammaproteobacteria; Oceanospirillales; Halomonadaceae. The record is from RNAcentral.
CCUACGGGGGGCAGCAGUGGGGAAUAUUGGACAAUGGGGGGAACCCUGAUCCAGCCAUGCCGCGUGUGUGAAGAAGGCCCUCGGGUUGUAAAGCACUUUCAGUGAGGAAGAACGCCUGGUGGUUAAUACCCAUCAGGAAAGACAUCACUCACAGAAGAAGCACCGGCUAACUCCGUGCCAGCAGCCGCGGUAAUACGGAGGGUGCGAGCGUUAAUCGGAAUUACUGGGCGUAAAGCGCGCGUAGGUGGCUUGAUAAGCCGGUUGUGAAAGCCCCGGGCUCAACCUGGGAACGGCAUCCGGAACUGUCAAGCUAGAGUGCAGGAGAGGAAGGUAGAAUUCCCAGUGUAGCGGUGAAAUGCGUAGAGAUCGGGAGGAAUACCAGUGGCGAAGGCGGCCUUCUGGACUGACACUGACACUGAGGUGCGAAAGCGUGGGUAGCAAACAGGAUUAGAUACCCGAGUAGUC